UACAGAGGUCCCAAGCGUUGUUCGGAUUCACUGGGCGUAAAGGGUGCGUAGGUGGCCAGGUAAGUUCGGUGUGAAAUCUCGGGGCUUAACUCCGAAACUGCAUUUGAUACUGCGGUGCUUGAGGACUGGAGAGGAGACUGGAAUUCAUGGUGUAGCAGUGAAAUGCGUAGAGAUCAUGAGGAAGACCAGUGGCGAAGGCGGGUCUCUGGACAGUUCCUGACACUGAGGCACGAAGGCCAGGGGAGCAAACGGG
This 253-nucleotide ribosomal RNA is filed under the name uncultured prokaryote. Its description in RNAcentral is "partial 16S ribosomal RNA". It matches the Rfam family "Bacterial small subunit ribosomal RNA", at positions 524 to 776 of the family's 1533-position model. The record is from RNAcentral.